GUGUGUGUGUGUGUGUGUGUCUCGCCUCGUUCCUGUGUCCAGGCCUUUGAAUGGGUUUCCUUUAAUUUUUUUUCCUCCUCUUUUCAGACGAGCUGGAGGAGGACUCCUCCGGGGAUUUGAUGAGGUUUUUUGCGCUCCCCUCCCUCUACAUCUCCUGUGUCUAUGCACAAAGGACCAGCGUCCUCCAGAAUAUGACUGUUCUGGAGGUCGCCGAGGCCAGGAGCAAGACGAGGGCUUCCUCAUCAAUAUGAAGGACCAUAAGACCAACCGAGCCUUCGGCUCUGCGAAGGUCUACCUCACCCCGGAGGAGUUCGGGUGGCUAGAGCGGUGGCUCGACAUCCACACCGGGCUGGAGCCAGAGAUGGACCUUGUCAUCUUCACAGACGGCAACAGGAGGUUCAACAAGCUCCUGUUGCCUAUCCAGAAGGCCUGGUCCGACUUGGGCUUGCCCGGCGCCCCCACCGUGACUGACAUAAGGACAUCGAUAGCCACCUAUGUAAGUGAUCAUCUAACAUUUUGAAAACGGGACGUAACAAGGAAAUGUUGAAAACUUUCCUUUAUUUCCGAAGGCAAGGGAUCACCUCCCGGCGGAUGAGCGGAGGGUGAUAAGUGGCAUUAUGUGCCACGACAUCUCCACUGCGGAGGAAUAUGCAGUGGACAGGUCGUGCCGCCAGCUCGCCAUGAUACGCAGAACCUUCGACACCCUGACAGACCCCGGCACAAGAUGGGAGUCCUCCUCGGGCAAAAAGGUGGGUUUUCAUGUGUCCUCGACUUACCUGCCCCCUCGAAGCCAUCCGGCAAUCUUAAUAAAUUAUGGAUCCGGCAGAAGCAUAAGGCGGAUGUCCUGUUCCAUAGAAGACUGCAGUUAUUCCAAGUCAAGGCUGGACUGUCAUCUGGAGCAGAGCUGGAUGCUGGAAAAAUACAGGAGCUGUUGAAAGAUCUAAAGAGGUGCUAUACCCUUGGACCAGCUGACGGUACUGAGGGCCACCAACCCUCAGCCUCCAAUGAUGUUGAGCCUGGACGUUGAUAUAGAGCACGAUGUCUUGUAAGUGGCCACUGCAUGCAAUUCUCCGUCCAACUGCUCCAACUGUGACACCCUCUCCAAGCUCCAAUCUGAGCUGAAGGAUAUUUGGAGGAAAUACAGGAUCCAAGCAACAAUGCUAAAAAGAACCAAGAACCGCAUGAAGCGAUUGGAGCAGGUAUGUAAAAUUCAUUACCAUAUUCAAUUACCUACCUGUGUCCCUGCCAUACGGCAUUAUGUGUUUGACAUAAAGGAGCUAAGGUCAAUGCUCCCAAGAGUCAUUGACCUCUGUGGUACUCCUUGGCUCCUCCAGAUCCAGGAAGGCGUUUUAGAAGGCUAAACCUUACCUUUUCACCUUCAACAGGCCCUCAAAAAGGCGCCUUCCCCAGUCUCCCCUCCACCCCCAGAACCAGAGCUCUGCCAAGAGCCAGAGGAAAAUUAGUUGUCACCAGAGGAAGAAACCUCGAACACGUAAACCGCCCCACCCACACCCACAAUGCUGUCAGUACUACAGCAGUACAGGCAGUUUCCAGCUCUCACGUUGCAAUGCAUCGAGGGGUACUAGGACCACCUCAAGGGCUCCUGUGGAGGAAAGAAGCACAUUGAAAAUCAAAAGUCGAAGGUGGGCCGCAUCAUGCAGUUCCUCACCUUCGUGGUGAACAACCGGAACAUCACAGGAAACUGGAGCAUCCUGACAAAUAUUCAUAGGAU
This is a long non-coding RNA of Poecilia latipinna (sailfin molly), 1732 nucleotides long. RefSeq lists it as uncharacterized. The transcript is spliced from 3 exons. NCBI's taxonomy places the organism in Eukaryota, Metazoa, Chordata, Actinopteri, Cyprinodontiformes, Poeciliidae. The record is from RefSeq and is a predicted model, not a curated record.